Molecule: ribosomal RNA, 488 nt
Filed under: uncultured bacterium
Lineage: Bacteria
Description: partial 16S ribosomal RNA
Rfam family: Bacterial small subunit ribosomal RNA
Source: RNAcentral
AUUGAACGCUGGCGGCAGGCCUAACACAUGCAAGUCGAGCGGGGUUUUCGGACCUAGCGGCGGACGGGUGAGUAAUGCGUAGGAAGCUACCCGAUAGAGGGGGAUACCAGUUGGAAACGACUGUUAAUACCGCAUAAUGUCUACGGACCAAAGUGUGGGACCUUCAGGCCACAUGCUAUCGGAUGCGCCUGAGUGGGAUUAGCUAGUUGGUGGGGUAAUGGCUCACCAAGGCGACGAUCCCUAGCUGGUUUGAGAGGAUGAUGAGCCACGCUGGAAGUGAGACACGGGCCAGACUCCUACGGGAGGCAGCAGUGGGGAAUAUUGGAAAAGGGGCGAAAGCCUGAUUCAGCCAUGCCGCGUGUGUGAAGAAGGCCUUCGGGUUGUAAAGCACUUUCAGUAGGGAGGAAGGGUGUUGUGUUCAUAGCACAGCAUUUUGACGUUACCUACAGAAGAAGCACCGGCUAACUCUGUGCCAGCCGCCGCGGUAA